UACGUAGGGUGCGAGCGUUAAUCGGAAUUAUUGGGCGUAAAGAGCUCGUAGGCGGCUUGUCGCGUCGGAUGUGAAAGCCCGGGGCUUAACUCCGGGUCUGCAUUCGAUACGGGCAGGCUGGAGUUCGGUAGGGGAGACUGGAAUUCCUGGUGUAGCGGUGAAAUGCGCAGAUAUCAGGAGGAACACCGGUGGCGAAGGCGGGUCUCUGGGCCGAUACUGACGCUGAGGAGCGAAAGCGUGGGGAGCGAACAGG
This 253-nucleotide ribosomal RNA is filed under the name uncultured bacterium. RNAcentral describes it as "partial 16S ribosomal RNA". It matches the Rfam family "Bacterial small subunit ribosomal RNA", at positions 524 to 776 of the family's 1533-position model. The record is from RNAcentral.